GUCGUAGGGGGCAGACGCGAAACCGGGUGAUCUACCCAUGGGCAGGUUGAAGGAGGGGUAAAACCCUCUGGAGGACCGAACACACCUACGUUGAAAAGUGGGGUGAUGACCUGUGGGGAGGAGUUAAAGUCUAAUCAUACCCGGAGAUAUCUCGUUCUCCCCGAAAUAGCUUUAGGGCUAGCCUCGCGUUACAUCGUGUGGGGGUAGGGCUACUGGAUGGGGCUGGGGGGCUUACCGCCUACCCACCCCAACCAAACUCCGAAUACCACACGACUCUGUCGCGGGAGUCAGUCCAUGGGAGAUAAUUUCCAUGGUCGAAAGGGAAACAGCCCAGACCGCCAGCUAAGGUCCCUGAUCGGGCCUCAGUUACUAAGGUAGUCAGAUUGCACAGACAGCCAGGAUGUUGGCUUAGAAGCAGCCAUCAUUUAAAGAGUGCGUAACAGCUCACUGGUCGAGGAAUCUGGCGCCGAUAAUGAUCGGGAAUUAAGGUUUGAACCGAAACUGCGGAGUAUAUUUAUAUACUGGUAGGGGAGCGUAGCUGUCAGCAUUGAAGGUGUUCCGGAAGGAACAUUGGAGCGGCAGCUAGUGAAUAUGUAGGAUUGAGUAACGAUAAAUGGAGUGAGAAUCUCCAUCGCCGAAAACCUAAGGUUUCCUGGGGAAGGUAAAUCCGCCCAGGGUUAGGCGGGACCUAAGGCGAGGCCGAAAGGCGUAGUCGAUGGACAGCAGGUUAAUAUUCCUGCCCCAUCAUGUGAGGUUGAUCCAGCGGUGCGGAUCUUGAAGUUCAGCGGGACAGUGAAGCGUCCAGGCCCUUGAGGCCGUUGCUGGGUAGAUAGGUUCCAAGAAAAGCCGUUUGGGGACGAUCAUGAUGCCCGUACUAAAACUGACACAGGUAGGUGUGGCGAAUAGCCUCAGGCGCUCGAGAAAAUGGUUGUGAAGGAACUAGGCAAAUUGACCCUGUAAGUUCGCGAUAAAGGGGCCCUAUCCAUUUAUGGAAGGGCGCAGAGAAAAGGCUCUGGCGACUGUUUAUCAAAAACACAGCACUGUGCUAACACGCAAGUGGACGUAUACAGUGUGACUCCUGCUCGGUGCCGGAAUGUUAAGGAAGCAGGUUAGUCCUUUAGUGGGCAAAGCUUGUGACUGAAGCACCGGUAAACAGCGGCCGUAACUAUGACGGUCCUAAGGUAGCGAAGUUCCUUGUCGGGUAAGUUCCGACCCGCACGAAAGGCGUAACGAUACGGGCACUGUCUCCACAACGGGCUCGGUGAAAUUGUAGUCGUGGUGAAGAUGCCACGUACCCGCGGUUAGACGGAAAGACCCCGUGAACCUUUACUGUAGGCUGAUAUUGGGCUGAAGUAUAUUCUGUGUAGGUUAGGUGGGAGGCUAUGAUCCAGCAGCGCCAGCUGUUGUGGAGCCAACCUUGAAAUACCACCCUGGCUAUGUUUUAGUUCUAACUUUGAA
This 1458-nucleotide ribosomal RNA is filed under the name marine metagenome. Its description in RNAcentral is "bacterial LSU rRNA". It matches the Rfam family "Bacterial large subunit ribosomal RNA", at positions 699 to 2232 of the family's 2925-position model. The record is from RNAcentral.